This 254-nucleotide long non-coding RNA is filed under the name Calidris pygmaea (Spoon-billed sandpiper). RNAcentral's name for it is "lncRNA (ENSCPGG00000008954.1)". Lineage: Eukaryota; Metazoa; Chordata; Aves; Charadriiformes; Scolopacidae. The record is from RNAcentral.
UGUUCCCCUGAAGCAGCUCUGAUUCACCACGUUGGUCACACCGUCUUCAGCGUUGUCCAUUAGUUUGAAACUACUGUCAUCUUCUGCAGCGUAUUAGGUCCUGCCGCGUCUCCUUCUGUAUGAGCCUGUCUCACCGUGUUGGAGUCACUGGAUAAAUGGAGACCAAAGCCAAGCUUCUGUGGCCAGCUGUCUGAUAUCCUCUUCAGCCAUCCCUGCUCAUCGCGGAGGGGCCAGAGCAGCCGGGCUGUGGGAAA